AUCUGCUCUUAUCAGUUUGUUUGAUACGUCCCCUAUUUGGGGACCAUAUAAUGAUUUUUGGAACAGGGAGAUGGAAUAGGGGCUUGCUCCGUCCACUCCAUACAUUCACCUGGUAUUGCAGUACCUCUAGCAACAGUGC
Paramormyrops kingsleyae is the source of this 139-nucleotide small nuclear RNA. Its record names the gene U2. It matches the Rfam family "U2 spliceosomal RNA". From Rfam's summary of the family: U2 is a small nuclear RNA (snRNA) component of the spliceosome (involved in pre-mRNA splicing). Complementary binding between U2 snRNA (in an area lying towards the 5' end but 3' to hairpin I) and the branchpoint sequence (BPS) of the intron results the bulging out of an unpaired adenosine, on the BPS, which initiates a nucleophilic attack at the intronic 5' splice site, thus starting the first of two transesterification reactions that mediate splicing. The record is from Ensembl. NCBI's taxonomy places the organism in Eukaryota, Metazoa, Chordata, Actinopteri, Osteoglossiformes, Mormyridae.